Molecule: non-coding RNA, 101 nt
Organism: Plectosphaerella plurivora
Lineage: Eukaryota; Fungi; Ascomycota; Sordariomycetes; Glomerellales; Plectosphaerellaceae
Source: the annotation of a GenBank genome assembly
GCCCUGGUAGCGUAAUCGGUAGCGCGCGGUGCUUAUGGAAUAUCAACGGUGAUAUUACAUGCAUCUCACUGAGGUUGUGAGUUCGAGUCUCACCCGGGGCA